UACAUCUAUAUAUACAGGUAGUUUGAGGGCUUCCUUUUUCAAUGAAGUGGGCGGUUCUCAUCAAGUGACACGUCGCAGAGGAAAGUAGGGCUAGAGUUUGACUAUCUUUUGUAGUGGUCUUUGUGUUUUGUACUAAAAUUUGUCAUUGAUUUUCUCAUUAUAAGCUAUGGCCACAGUUUGACAAUAUCUCUUUUGUAGUGGU
This 202-nucleotide long non-coding RNA is filed under the name Trifolium pratense (red clover). RNAcentral describes it as "long non-coding RNA (TPRA_LNC005332)". The record is from RNAcentral. Lineage: Eukaryota; Viridiplantae; Streptophyta; Magnoliopsida; Fabales; Fabaceae.